RNAcentral lists this ribosomal RNA (253 nucleotides) under uncultured bacterium. RNAcentral's name for it is "partial 16S ribosomal RNA". It matches the Rfam family "Bacterial small subunit ribosomal RNA", at positions 524 to 776 of the family's 1533-position model. The record is from RNAcentral.
UACGAAGGGGGCUAGCGUUGCUCGGAAUCACUGGGCGUAAAGGGUGCGUAGGCGGGGCUUUAAGUCAGGGGUGAAAUCCUGGAGCUCAACUCCAGAACUGCCUUUGAUACUGAAGAUCUUGAGUUCGGGAGAGGUGAGUGGAACUGCGAGUGUAGAGGUGAAAUUCGUAGAUAUUCGCAAGAACACCGGUGGCGAAGGCGGCUAUCUGGACCGACAUUGACGCUGAGGCGCGAAAGCGUGGGGAGCAAACAGG